UACGGAGGAUCCGAGCGUUAUCCGGAUUUAUUGGGUUUAAAGGCUGCUCAGGCGGGCCAUUAAGUCGGCGGUGAAAUUUUGCGGCUCAACCGUAAAAGUGCCUUCGAUACUGGUGGUCUUGAGUGUGGAUGAGGUAGGCGGAAUUUGUGGUGUAGCGGUGAAAUGCAUAGAUAUCACGAGGAACUCCGAUUGCUAAGGCAGCUUACUAAGCCAUAACUGACGCUCAAGCACGAAGGCGUGGGGAUCAAACAGGAUUAGAUACCCU
Molecule: ribosomal RNA, 265 nt
Filed under: uncultured prokaryote
Description: partial 16S ribosomal RNA
Rfam family: Bacterial small subunit ribosomal RNA
Source: RNAcentral